UGUGUGAAUCAUCCAUCUCAGAUUUUGCUAUCUGAAGCUCUUGUAAAUAACUCUUUGAAAUAGAUUCAGCUUCCUUAAUCUGAUUAACAAGUUCUGCACAUAUUUUCUCUCUAUGAACAUCUUUGUCCUGAAGUUCUUUCUGCAGACUUGCUAUAGCAGCUUUCAUAUCCUUUUGACCAAAUUCAGCAAUAUCAUUUUGCACACUCAUAAUAUCUUUCACAGCCAUGAAUAAUCUCUCUAUUACUGACCUAAUACCUUCCUCAGUAAACCGGUCAGUCAUCUCAGCCAAAUCAUGUCCUUCAGCUAAACUUCGAUACACAGAAUUGAUUUUGGGAGCCCCAGAAGCUAAGCUGCUUCCAACCAAUUGGGAUUUUCUGCUUUCAAUUUCCAUAACCAAAGUGGUACAAGCUUCAUAAAGCA
This 420-nucleotide unclassified non-coding RNA is filed under the name Hevea brasiliensis (rubber tree). Lineage: Eukaryota; Viridiplantae; Streptophyta; Magnoliopsida; Malpighiales; Euphorbiaceae. The record is from RNAcentral.